UAUAGAGGGUGCGAGCGUUGUUCGGAAUUAUUGGGCGUAAAGGGCGCGUAGGCGGUGCCACAAGUCACUUGUGAAAUCUCCGGGCUUAACUCGGAGCCUGCAGGCGAAACUGUGGUGCUGGAGUGUGAGAGAGGUGCGUGGAAUUCCCGGUGUAGCGGUGAAAUGCGUAGAUAUCAGGAGGAACACCAAUAGCGAAGGCAGCUCGCUGGGACGUUACUGACACUGAGGCGCGAAAGCGUGGGGAGCGAACAGG
This 253-nucleotide ribosomal RNA is filed under the name uncultured bacterium. RNAcentral's name for it is "partial 16S ribosomal RNA". It matches the Rfam family "Bacterial small subunit ribosomal RNA", at positions 524 to 776 of the family's 1533-position model. The record is from RNAcentral.